AAUGAAGUGCCUGAAUAAAGGAUUAUUUUGAUAGAAUAAAUCAUGCAUAAUAUGCCUUCAUUA
RNAcentral lists this transfer RNA (63 nucleotides) under Machla setosa. RNAcentral describes it as "tRNA-Gln". The record is from RNAcentral. Lineage: Eukaryota; Metazoa; Arthropoda; Insecta; Coleoptera; Tenebrionidae. RNAcentral also lists the same sequence under 1 other name.